RNAcentral lists this transfer RNA (62 nucleotides) under Biomphalaria sudanica. Its description in RNAcentral is "tRNA-Leu". The record is from RNAcentral. Lineage: Eukaryota; Metazoa; Mollusca; Gastropoda; Planorbidae.
UUUAACUUGGCAGAUAAAUGCAAUUAAUUUAGAAUUAAUUUAUAUCCUUAGGAUUGUUGGUA